CCUACGGGAGGCAGCAGUGAGGAAUAUUGGGCAAUGGGCGCGAGCCUGAACCAGCCAAGUAGCGUGAAGGAUGACUGCCCUACGGGUUGUAAACUUCUUUUAUAAAGGAAUAAAGUGAGGCACGAGUGCCUUUUUGGAUGUACUUUAUGAAUAAGGAUCGGCUAACUCCGUGCCAGCAGCCGCGGUAAUAAGGAGGAUCCGAGCGUUAUCCGGAUUUAUUGGGUUUAAAGGGAGCGUAGAUGGGUUGUUAAGUCAGUUGUGAAAGUUUGCGGCUCAACCGUAAAAUUGCAAUUGAUACUGGCAGUCUUGAGUACAGUUGAGGUAGGCGGAAUUCGUGGUGUAGCGGUGAAAUGCUUAGAUAUCACGAAGAACUCCGAUUGCGAAGGCAGCUUACUAAACUGCCACUGACAUUGAUGCUCGAAAGUGUGGGUAUCAAACAGGAUUAGAUACCCCAGUAGUC
RNAcentral lists this ribosomal RNA (460 nucleotides) under uncultured bacterium. RNAcentral's name for it is "partial 16S ribosomal RNA". It matches the Rfam family "Bacterial small subunit ribosomal RNA", at positions 338 to 795 of the family's 1533-position model. The record is from RNAcentral.